Molecule: ribosomal RNA, 485 nt
Filed under: uncultured bacterium
Lineage: Bacteria
Description: partial 16S ribosomal RNA
Rfam family: Bacterial small subunit ribosomal RNA
Source: RNAcentral
UUGAACGCUGGCGGCAUGCUUUACACAUGCCAGUCGAGCGGCAGCGCGGGGGCAACCCUGGCGGCGAGCGGCGAACGGGUGAGUAAUGCAUCGGAACGUAUCCUCGAGUGGGGGAUAACCCAGCGAAAGUUGGGCUAAUACCGCAUGAGCUCUGAGGAGGAAAGCGGGGGACCUGCGAGGGCCUCGCGCUGGAGGAGCGGCCGAUGUCCGAUUAGCUAGUUGGUGGGGUAAAGGCUUACCAAGGCGACGAUCGGUAGCUGGUCUGAGAGGAUGAUCAGCCACACUGGGACUGAGACACGGCCCAGAUUCCUACGGGAGGCAGCAGUGGGGAAUGUUGGACAAUGGGGGCAACCCUGAUCCAGCCAUGCCGCGUGAGUGAAGAAGGCCUUCGGGUUGUAAAGCUCUUUCGGACGGAACGAAAUGGGCGGGACUAAUACUCCUGUCUGAUGACGGUACCGGAAGAAGAAGCACCGGCUAACUACGUG